Molecule: ribosomal RNA, 440 nt
Filed under: uncultured bacterium
Lineage: Bacteria
Description: partial 16S ribosomal RNA
Rfam family: Bacterial small subunit ribosomal RNA
Source: RNAcentral
CUACGGGAUGCUGCAGUGGGGAAUAUUGCACAAUGGAGGAAACUCUGAUGCAGCAACGCCGCGUGGAGGAUGACACUUUUCGGAGCGUAAACUCCUUUUAUAUAGGAAGAAGAUGACGGUACUAUAUGAAUAAGCGCCGGCUAACUCCGUGCCAGCAGGCCGCGGUAAUACGGAGGGCGCAAGCGUUGCUCGGAAUCACUGGGCGUAAAGAGCGUGUAGGCGGAUUAAAAAGUCAGAAGUGAAAUCCUAUAGCUUAACUAUAGAACUGCUUCUGAAACUCUUAAUCUAGAAUAUGGGAGAGGUAGAUGGAAUUUCUGGUGUAGGGGUAAAAUCCGUAGAGAUCAGAAGGAAUACCGAUUGCGAAGGCGAUCUACUAGAACAUUAUUGACGCUGAGACGCGAAAGCGUGGGGAGCAAACAGGAUUAGAUACCCGCGUAGUC